UCGAGAAUUUUUGGCAAUGGGGGAAACCCUGACCAAGCGAUGCCGCGUGCGGGAUGAAGGCCUUCGGGUUGUAAACCGCUGUCAGUGGGGAGAAAAGGACCGGUGUACCCGGUUUUGAUCUAUCCGCAGAGGAAGUGUGGGCUAAGCUCGUGCCAGCAGCCGCGGUAAGACGAGCCACACGAACGUUAUUCGGAAUUACUGGGCUUAAAGGGUGCGUAGGCUGCGCGGAAAGUUGGGUGUGAAAUCCCUCGGCUCAACCGAGGAACUGCGCCCAAAACUGCCGUGCUCGAGGAAGAUAGAGGUAAGCGGAACUUACGGUGGAGCGGUGAAAUGCGUUGAUAUCGUAAGGAACACCUGUGGCGAAAGCGGCUUACUGGGUCUUUUCUGACGCUGAUGCACGAAAGCUAGGGGAGCAAACGGGAUUAGAUACCCCGGUAGUCCUAGCCGUAAACUCUCAGCACUGAAUUGAAGGGCCUCCCAUA
Molecule: ribosomal RNA, 482 nt
Filed under: uncultured Planctomycetota bacterium
Lineage: Bacteria; Pseudomonadati; Planctomycetota
Description: bacterial SSU rRNA
Rfam family: Bacterial small subunit ribosomal RNA
Source: RNAcentral